This 547-nucleotide unclassified non-coding RNA is filed under the name Aspergillus sp. 12 JS-2017. RNAcentral describes it as "sequence contains ITS1, 5.8S rRNA gene, ITS2". The stretch from base 162 to 315 matches the Rfam family "5.8S ribosomal RNA". Lineage: Eukaryota; Fungi; Ascomycota; Eurotiomycetes; Eurotiales; Aspergillaceae. The record is from RNAcentral.
CUCCCACCCGUGACUAUUGUACCUUGUUGCUUCGGCGGGCCCGCCAGCGUUGCUGGCCGCCGGGGGGCGUCUCGCCCCCGGGCCCGUGCCCGCCGGAGACCCCAACAUGAACCCUGUUCUGAAAGCUUGCAGUCUGAGUGUGAUUCUUUGCAAUCAGUUAAAACUUUCAACAAUGGAUCUCUUGGUUCCGGCAUCGAUGAAGAACGCAGCGAAAUGCGAUAACUAAUGUGAAUUGCAGAAUUCAGUGAAUCAUCGAGUCUUUGAACGCACAUUGCGCCCCCUGGUAUUCCGGGGGGCAUGCCUGUCCGAGCGUCAUUGCUGCCCUCAAGCCCGGCUUGUGUGUUGGGCCCUCGUCCCCCGGCUCCCGGGGGACGGGCCCGAAAGGCAGCGGCGGCACCGCGUCCGGUCCUCGAGCGUAUGGGGCUUCGUCUUCCGCUCUGUAGGCCCGGCCGGCGCCCGCCGACGCAUUUUUUUGCAACUUGUUUUUUCCAGGUGACCUCGGAUCAGGUAGGGAUACCCGCUGAACUUAAGCAUAUCAAUAAGCGGA